AUGCACAUGCACGAUCGGAGUAAGCAAAUUAUCAACUCUGAUGUUCUAAUAUAUUCUCCAUACAUACAUAUAUAUAUAUAUGCAGGACAAAGUAGAUCUGUGCCUCCAAUGCAAGGGUCUUCCGGCCAGCAGAAUGAUCGACGUCCAGCGUAUCCUCUGGCGGCGGCUGGCCAGAAGCCGCCGCCACCGCCGCCUAGUGCAGAUAGUAAAGGGUUGUCGACGAAGACCGCUGCGUCGAGCAACGGCAGCAACUCUCACGCACCAAGACAGGCGUACAAAGCCGAUGAUGCAAGUGCUGGUGGUGGUAAACCGACAGGCAAGGGCAUUUCUAGGGGGUGA
Molecule: ribosomal RNA, 339 nt
Filed under: Triticum aestivum (bread wheat)
Lineage: Eukaryota; Viridiplantae; Streptophyta; Magnoliopsida; Poales; Poaceae
Description: partial small subunit ribosomal RNA
Source: RNAcentral